This 453-nucleotide long non-coding RNA is filed under the name Solanum tuberosum (potato). Its description in RNAcentral is "long non-coding RNA (STUB_LNC002228)". Lineage: Eukaryota; Viridiplantae; Streptophyta; Magnoliopsida; Solanales; Solanaceae. The record is from RNAcentral.
UUUAACUCAAGUCAAUAUUCUCUCUCUUCACGUUUUCCCAAUUUUUCUCUCAUUCAUUGUUCAAGAAAAAUUAACUCUUCCAUUUUCUUCCAAAUUGUUUAGGAAAUCUAUCAAUUAAUUCAAGAAAUCUCUCAAUUGUUAAAGGUAAUUUCGAAGUCACCAAAUAUUUUGUGAGUUUUCUUCUGAUUUUGUUUUCAUAUUCACCAAAUAUUUUUGUAUGUAUUUCUGAUUUUCUGUCCUUUUUUAAUUUUUUUUGAGUGUUUACAUAUUUGAGAUUCAGUAGAUUGUAGUAAUCUACAUUAGCAUUCAUACAUCAUAUAUUGCUUGAUUUUUUAUACAUUCAUAUUUAAUAAUUUCAUUUUUUUCUUAUAGGGUUACUAAUGCACAAGUAAAUAUGGAUUCGAAUUUGGAUUUGGUGAAAACAAAAUCGGACAAAAAGGAACAUAGCAGAAG